Molecule: non-coding RNA, 24 nt
Filed under: Arabidopsis thaliana (thale cress)
Lineage: Eukaryota; Viridiplantae; Streptophyta; Magnoliopsida; Brassicales; Brassicaceae
Source: RNAcentral
UCAAAACCUUAGGGCAUGAAUGGG